RNAcentral lists this ribosomal RNA (793 nucleotides) under uncultured Actinomycetes bacterium. RNAcentral describes it as "bacterial SSU rRNA". It matches the Rfam family "Bacterial small subunit ribosomal RNA", at positions 28 to 824 of the family's 1533-position model. Lineage: Bacteria; Bacillati; Actinomycetota; Actinomycetes. The record is from RNAcentral.
GACGAACGCUGGCGGCGUGCUUAACACAUGCAAGUCGAACGAGGUCCAAGCAGUCGCAAGACUGCGGAAGACCGAGUGGCGAACGGGUGCGUAACACGUGAGCAACCUGCCCUUGACUCCGGGAUAACAGUUGGAAACAGCUGCUAAUACCGGAUACGACCUUCGAUGACAUCAUCUGGAGGUGGAAAGCGCUUUAGCGGUCAAGGAUGGGCUCGCGGCCUAUCAGCUUGUUGGUGAGGUAACGGCUCACCAAGGCUUCGACGGGUAGCCGGCCUGAGAGGGCGACCGGCCACACUGGGACUGAGAUACGGCCCAGACUCCUACGGGAGGCAGCAGUGGGGAAUAUUGCACAAUGGGCGCAAGCCUGAUGCAGCAACGCCGCGUGCGGGAUGACGGCCUUCGGGUUGUAAACCGCUUUCAGUUCCGACGAAGCGCAAGUGACGGUAGGAACAGAAGAAGGACCGGCCAACUACGUGGCAGCAGCCGCGGUGAUACGUAGGGUCCGAGCGUUGUCCGGAAUUAUUGGGCGUAAAGGGCUUGUAGGCGGUUUGUCACGUCGGAAGUGAAAACUCAGGGCUCAACCCUGAGCCUGCUUCCGAUACGGGCAAACUAGAGGGAUGCAGGGGAGAAUGGAAUUCCUGGUGGAGCGGUGGAGUGCGCAGAUAUCAGGAGGAACACCGGUGGCGAAGGCGGUUCUCUGGGCAUUUCCUGACGCUGAGAAGCGAAAGCGUGGGGAGCAAACAGGCUUAGAUACCCUGGUAGUCCACGCCGUAAACGGUGGGCACUAGGUGUG